CCUACGGGAGGCAGCAGUGAGGAAUAUUGGUCAAUGGGCGCAAGCCUGAACCAGCCAUGCCGCGUGCAGGAUGAAGCAUCUAUGGUGUGUAAACUGCUUUUGUACGGGAAGAAACCCUGCCACGUGUGGCAGAUUGACGGUACCGUAAGAAUAAGGAUCGGCUAACUCCGUGCCAGCAGCCGCGGUAAUACGGAGGAUCCAAGCGUUAUCCGGAAUCAUUGGGUUUAAAGGGUCCGUAGGCGGUUUUAUAAGUCAGUGGUGAAAUCCGGCAGCUCAACUGUCGAACUGCCAUUGAUACUGUAGGACUUGAAUUAUUGUGAAGUAACUAGAAUAUGUAGUGUAGCGGUGAAAUGCUUAGAUAUUACAUGGAAUACCCAUUGCGAAGGCAGGUUACUAACAAUAUAUUGACGCUGAUGGACGAAAGCGUGGGGAGCGAACAGGAUUAGAUACCCUGGUAGUCCACGCCGUAAACGAUGGAUACUAGCUGUUUGGUUGUAAGACUGAGUGGUGUAGAGAAGUAGAGUAAGUAGUACCGACCGUCGGGUAGGUACGGGUUCGGCGACGACCGUUACGAACGUUACGAAGGAAGUAGACGGCGUUGAGACGNGCCGACGGACGACGACGAGGGAGGAGG
RNAcentral lists this ribosomal RNA (634 nucleotides) under uncultured bacterium. Its description in RNAcentral is "bacterial SSU rRNA". The stretch from base 1 to 538 matches the Rfam family "Bacterial small subunit ribosomal RNA", at positions 338 to 873 of the family's 1533-position model. The record is from RNAcentral.